This 221-nucleotide ribosomal RNA is filed under the name uncultured bacterium. Its description in RNAcentral is "partial 16S ribosomal RNA". It matches the Rfam family "Bacterial small subunit ribosomal RNA", at positions 129 to 334 of the family's 1533-position model. The record is from RNAcentral.
CCCUUCAGAGGGGGACAACAGUUGGAAACGACUGCUAAUACCGCAUACGAUCUAAUCUCGGCAUCGAGGAUGGAUGAAAGGUGGCCUCUAUUUAUAAGCUAUCACUGAAGGAGGGGAUUGUGUCUGAUUAGCUAGUUGGAGGGGUAACGGCCCACCGAGGCGAUGAUCAGUAGCCGGUCUGAGAGGAUGAACGGCCACAUUGGGACUGAGACACGGCCCAG